GAUGAACGCUGGCGGCGUGCUUAACACAUGCAAGUCGAACGGAAAGGCCCAAGCUUGCUUGGGUACUCGAGUGGCGAACGGGUGAGUAACACGUGGGUGAUCUGCCCUGCACUUCGGGAUAAGCCUGGGAAACUGGGUCUAAUACCGGAUAGGACGAUGGUUUGGAUGCCAUUGUGGAAAGUUUUUUCGGUGUGGGAUGAGCUCGCGGCCUAUCAGCUUGUUGGUGGGGUAAUGGCCUACCAAGGCGUCGACGGGUAGCCGGCCCGAGAGGGUGUACGGCCACAUUGGGACUGAGAUACGGCCCAGACUCCUACGGGAGGCAGCAGUGGGGAAUAUUGCACAAUGGGCGCAAGCCUGAUGCAGCGACGCCGCGUGGGGGAUGACGGCCUUCGGGUUGUAAACUCCUUUCGCUAGGGACGAAGCGUUUUUGUGACGGUACCUGGAGAAGAAGCACCGGCUAACUACGUG
Molecule: ribosomal RNA, 468 nt
Filed under: uncultured bacterium
Lineage: Bacteria
Description: partial 16S ribosomal RNA
Rfam family: Bacterial small subunit ribosomal RNA
Source: RNAcentral